UCUUCAGAGACAGAGAAUACGAACAUGAUCCCAGACCCUACAAGUGUUCUCAAAUACACGUCCAGAGAACACCUGUCCAGAUCACACAAACCUGCGCUCUCACAGGAUUCAUGCUUGUGCUUCAUGUAUGACACGACUGAUCACAGGAAGCACAGACUGGUUGAUGAACCACAUGAACGCUCAAACUCCUCACUAGUGACUGAGCUGACAGCAAACAGUCCAUUUUAGGUUAAGAGUCUUAAAAAGAUGUGUUGUGAUAUAUUUAACAUUUACAUUUAUGCAUUUAGCAGACGCUUUUAUCCAAAGUGACUUACAGUGCAUUCAGGCUGUACAACAGUAUGUGUGUUUCCUGGGACUUGAACCCACGACGGUUAUUUGUGUUAAAAUCUGUUUCUUCCUGUCUGCUCCUUUUGAACAUCGGUCAGUGUUUCUAGCCGAACCCCGUCCCUUUAGGCAUUUAAGACACAGUGGGUGUAGAAAAUAAUCACAGUUUUUGUUUUAUCCAUCUCUAAUUAUUCAGUGCAUCUUCUAACAUCCAAGUGAAGGAUAACACCAACAUGGCAGAAAAAAAUAAUUAAUAGUUAAUGUGUCUGUGAACACGGCUUCUGUAAAUGCAGCAGUGUCGUGUGUGAACGGCUGUCAGGGACAGAAACAUCUACACAGGUCUACGAAUGUCCAGCAGUUUUAUGAGAGUUAUUGUGGCUGCAACAAACCUCAAGAGGCCAAUACUGCUUCCUCCAAACGUCUGUCAAUAAACCAGAUGUUAUUAUUGAUUCUUUACAGCUGUACACUUAGCAAAACUCACUUCCAAAUGUGCUCCACUAUGACAGUACUUGACCCGAAAGAGAAAACGGAUCAUUUUUUGCUAUUUUACACCUGCAGAAACAUGUUUAAAACAUAUGGGCUAAAAUAAUCUCGUAUUUUGCUAAAUCUGAAAUCAAGCCUGUGUAGCGAGAAUAGCUUGAACUUCAUUCUGGAUAAAAGCAUCUGUCAAACGCAUUUAUGCACAUGGAAAUAAAAUUUACAAGAAAGUUGUCUUUUGAUGCAUAUAGCACCUAAUAACUGAUUUGAUAAUGUGAUCGACCGUUCAACAGAGAAAAGCUUCACAAGCGUCAAAACCCUCAUGAGCUUGGCUCUAUAACACUAGUGUGAGCUGUAAAUCUGAGAAUUUUGCAUUUCAUCCAGAAAACCAGCCAGACGUCCUUGAGUUCUGUGCAACAAUGGAGGGCAAAGCAAGUUUCAAUCUGUUUUUUAGUUGCCAUGGAAACUGCAGAGAAACGUGUCCCUCCCACAAGAAUCCACAUCUGGCCUUUCAGGGGGCAUGUGUGCGCCGCUCACAUAGAUGCUCGGCGUCGGGGGGUUGAGCUUGUCUUUAGCCAGCGGCGGUGACGGAGGAGGAGGAAGUCGCGGCGGUGGACAUUUGUUCAGCAGGAUACUGCUGCUCGACAGACCGUUCUUCCGGAGAUUCCUGUCAAUAAACGUGAUGUUAGACCUGAAGAAAAAUGUUAUUUCUGCAGAAUACAAUAUUUACAAAUUAGCCAUAGCUGAAAUCUUAAAGAAAGUCAUCAGAUUCUCAACACCUGCAGACAGACAACACCCUCAAGUCUAAAAUUCAGCUUGCAUUUCAUUUUUUCAUUUAAGUGCUUCAAAAUAAAAUAAUGUAUAAAAUAUAUUUCUGUUUGUGCAUACAACAGUCCACCGAGGUGACAGCUUUCCAA
Long non-coding RNA from Cyprinus carpio (common carp), 1718 nucleotides. RefSeq lists it as uncharacterized. The record is from RefSeq and is a predicted model, not a curated record. The transcript has 2 exons. Lineage: Eukaryota; Metazoa; Chordata; Actinopteri; Cypriniformes; Cyprinidae.